RNAcentral lists this ribosomal RNA (505 nucleotides) under Enterococcus faecalis. Its description in RNAcentral is "bacterial SSU rRNA". It matches the Rfam family "Bacterial small subunit ribosomal RNA", at positions 1036 to 1533 of the family's 1533-position model. The record is from RNAcentral. Lineage: Bacteria; Bacillati; Bacillota; Bacilli; Lactobacillales; Enterococcaceae.
AGGUGGUGCAUGGUUGUCGUCAGCUCGUGUCGUGAGAUGUUGGGUUAAGUCCCGCAACGAGCGCAACCCUUAUUGUUAGUUGCCAUCAUUUAGUUGGGCACUCUAGCGAGACUGCCGGUGACAAACCGGAGGAAGGUGGGGAUGACGUCAAAUCAUCAUGCCCCUUAUGACCUGGGCUACACACGUGCUACAAUGGGAAGUACAACGAGUCGCUAGACCGCGAGGUCAUGCAAAUCUCUUAAAGCUUCUCUCAGUUCGGAUUGCAGGCUGCAACUCGCCUGCAUGAAGCCGGAAUCGCUAGUAAUCGCGGAUCAGCACGCCGCGGUGAAUACGUUCCCGGGCCUUGUACACACCGCCCGUCACACCACGAGAGUUUGUAACACCCGAAGUCGGUGAGGUAACCUUUUUGGAGCCAGCCGCCUAAGGUGGGAUAGAUGAUUGGGGUGAAGUCGUAACAAGGUAGCCGUAUCGGAAGGUGCGGCUGGAUCACCUCCUUUCUAAGGAA